CUGUACUGUACUGUACUGUACUGUACAGUACAGUACAGUACAGUACAGUACAGUACAGUACAGUACAG
Molecule: non-coding RNA, 68 nt
Organism: Paramuricea clavata
Lineage: Eukaryota; Metazoa; Cnidaria; Anthozoa; Malacalcyonacea; Plexauridae
Source: the annotation of a GenBank genome assembly